AGCGACCGGGACAGGGAGGCUUCCUGGAUCAGUGGUGAAGACCCGGGCUUGCAGCAUUAUGGUACACCGCAGAAUGAGUGGCUGCGGCGUGUGUACAAACCGAGUGAACACAGGAAAACUAGGAGGAGA
Ostrinia nubilalis (European corn borer) is the source of this 129-nucleotide long non-coding RNA. RefSeq lists it as uncharacterized. NCBI's taxonomy places the organism in Eukaryota, Metazoa, Arthropoda, Insecta, Lepidoptera, Crambidae. The transcript is spliced from 3 exons. The record is from RefSeq and is a predicted model, not a curated record.